This 467-nucleotide ribosomal RNA is filed under the name uncultured bacterium. RNAcentral describes it as "partial 16S ribosomal RNA". It matches the Rfam family "Bacterial small subunit ribosomal RNA", at positions 28 to 507 of the family's 1533-position model. The record is from RNAcentral.
GACGAACGCUGGCGGCGUGCUUAACACAUGCAAGUCGAACGGAAAGGCCUCUUUCGGGGGGUACUCGAGUGGCGAACGGGUGAGUAACACGUGAGUAACCUGCCCUUGACUUUGGGAUAACUUCAGGAAACUGGGGCUAAUACCGGAUAGGAGCUCCUGCUGCAUGGUGGGGGUUGGAAAGUUUCGGCGGUUGGGGAUGGACUCGCGGCUUAUCAGUUUGUUGGUGGGGUAGUGGCUUACCAAGGCUUUGACGGGUAGCCGGCCUGAGAGGGUGACCGGCCACAUUGGGACUGAGAUACGGCCCAGACUCCUACGGGAGGCAGCAGUGGGGAAUAUUGCACAAUGGGUGGAAGCCUGAUGCAGCAACGCCGUGUGCGGGAUGACGGCCUUCGGGUUGGAAACCGCUUUCGCUCAUGACGAAGCUUUGUGUGACGGUAGUGGGUAAAGAAGCACCGGCUAACUACGUG